This is a long non-coding RNA of Pteropus alecto (black flying fox), 270 nucleotides long. RefSeq lists it as uncharacterized. The record is from RefSeq and is a predicted model, not a curated record. Lineage: Eukaryota; Metazoa; Chordata; Mammalia; Chiroptera; Pteropodidae. The transcript has 3 exons.
UUUCUUACUUUUCCUUAAUGAUUUAAACUAGAUUUGCCAAUGGUCGUUCUACUGGGCUCAUUUUGGACAGUGGAGCCACUCAUACCACUGCGAUUCCAGUUCACGAUGGCUAUGUCCUUCAGCAAGGUAUUGUGAAAUCGCCUCUUGCUGGAGACUUUAUUACUAUGCAAUGCAGAGAACUCUUCCAAGAAAUGAACAUAGAACUGAUUCCUCCGUAUAUGAUUGCAUCAAAAGAACCUGUGCGGGAAGGAUCUCCGGCAAACUGGAAAA